This is a long non-coding RNA of Oncorhynchus tshawytscha (Chinook salmon), 5628 nucleotides long. NCBI's taxonomy places the organism in Eukaryota, Metazoa, Chordata, Actinopteri, Salmoniformes, Salmonidae. The record is from Ensembl.
UGAUUGUAUGUUUGUUUAUUCGAUGUGUAACUGUGUCGACCUGCUUUGCUUUAUCUUGGCCAGGUCACAGUUGCAAAUGAGAACUUGUUCUCAACUAGCCUACCUGGUUAAAUAAAGGUGAAAUAAAAAUAAACAUUUUCCCUAUAUCCAUGUAGUACAUGAGGACACAGUGCGAUGCACAGUGCUUGCUUUGUAAGUAAGCAAGGUGUGAAUCUAUCUUGUGAUUAAACAGACUUAUUGUAGGUUAUUUGACUGAUUUACAGAUCAUGGACUAUUUUUCUGUUUUAUAUUAGGAUACUUUUUUAAUAGAUUUAAAUGUUUCCAUAUCUCAGUGUCUUUAGAGUAUCCUGUGAGGCAGAUCAACGUGCCCUAUGGUCAGGAGGAGAGCAGCAGCUUGAAGGUUUUGGGGGAAACAUUUCCCCCAGAUGAAUCCAAAUGUAGAGGCCUUUAAGACGGGCAGGAGGAGGAGACUUGUUCCCCUACAAAAAAAAGAGUUGUUGUCAAGACAAUGGAGGAUAGAGAUGGUGUGGUUGAAUUGGUGGCUCAACAAUUUGUCCAAGGGAGCAUGCAGGUGGUCUUGGAGCAGUAAGUCAACUCUGUCAUAAAUCUGUGCAGGACUUGUCAUUACCUCCUCUAACAUAAGUAUUUUUAACCAGUCCACCCCCCUAAAUCAAUACACAUCACUAUAUUGUCCUUAAACUUGUUUUAAAUAUACAUACUGUCUCUAAACCAUGACAGGUUCAAAUAUGGUCCCAACUCUCUUGGGCUGCUCAAAGCAUUGGGGAACCACCCGGACAGCCUCCGAGCACUUUUUGUGGGGACCUGCGGGAUCUGUUUAAAAUAACCUGUUCCAUGCCUGGCGGCAACCGGCGGUGUUUGGAGAACGACACCGUCUGCCACUGGUUCAACUGGCUGGCUGAGGUGGAAGAUGGAGAAUGUCCUCCUCUAACAGUGGCGAUGGUGUUGGAGUUUGCUACUGGGGCAACGGUGAUGCCACCCCUUGGGUUUGAGGACACCCCGACCAUCGAAUUCCUCACACACAGCGCGAGGGAGUCUCGCUAGGCAGUAGAAGAAAAAGUACCCAGUGGCAAACACGUGUGCUGUGACACUAAGGCUCCCUCUUCAUAGCACCUACAAUGCCUUUAGGGAAUUCAUGACCUCCGGUAUUGUGAAUUCCCCACAUUUCGGUGUUGCAUAAAAACAUUUUUACGACACAUAAUUGUAUCUAGUAGCACUAAACUACAGUAGCAAUUGAGUGUCUGAAAAUGUAACAGCACAUCGACAUUUAAGCAUUUAUCUACUUGUUUGUAUGGUAUUCAGACCUCUUGCCUUUUUAUUACGUUACAGCCUUAUUAAAAAACGGAUAAAAUUUUCCCCCUCAUCAAUCUACACACAAUACCCCAUAAUGACAAAGCAAAAACAGGUUUACAUUUUUGCAAAUGUAUAUAUAAAAAAAGAGGAUAUAUUACAUGUAUGACCCUUUACUUAGUACUUUGCUGAAGCAGCGAUUACAUCAGUCUUCUUGGGUAUGACGCUACAUUUUAAUUUAUUUAAUAGAUUUUAGAAUAAGGCUCUAAUGUAACAAAAUGUGGAAAAAGUCAAGGGGGUCUGAAUACUUUCCAAAUGCACUGUAUUUCCAUAUCGGCUGUUAUUGUGCACUUAAUGAUCCUUUAAAAUUAAAUUAUUACAAUCCAUAUUGCUUGUCUUGGCGUUUUUUUUAUUUUUUAGAAACACUUUACUGACACUUCACUAAUAACCAAUAUCCUUUGCUGAUAUUGACUGAAGUACUCCUGCCAUAUCGCAGCCAACUCAUCCAAAUCUGAUAAUUUGAUGUCCUACAUUAAGAACAAUAAACUUCAACAAUCAUUUAAUUAGAACUACAUGAAAUAAGACUUCCCAUCCACUGUAUUAAGUGACAGCUCCACUUCUGGGAACUGCACCUUCGUAGUAACUUAUCGAAUUUCAAAUGCAUUGAUCUAAGAACUAGAUCCAUUAGUCCAAAGCUCUCCAACCUUGUUCCUGGAGAGCUGCCCUCCUGUAGGUUUUCAAUCCAACCUCAAUUGUAACUAACCUGAUUAAUUUAUUAAGCAGGUAAUUAUUCAAAUCAGGUGCACUAGAUUAGGGUUGGAGUGAACUUACAAGACAGUAGCUCUCCAGGUACAGGGUUGGAGAGCCCUGCACUAGUCCAUCUUCAACCACAUCAUUUGAGCUGCCACAAUGUGUCAACAAUGUUAUGUUAGUAACUGUAAUCGGUUGCUGUUAAUCACAAAGAUAUAAAAUGUAACGGGAGCCGAAUCCCUAUCUUCAUAGUUUUUUUAAAUUAUUUUUUUUAACUAUAGGGCUUUCUCCACACAUUUAUUUUAACAAUUUAUAAAAGUCCCGAUUGGGCAUUACAAAAAUGCAAGUUCUGUUUUAAUAAUGUCCAUUCAGAAUGUUCUGUUGUCCUCCCACAGCAGGCGCGCUCUGAAGGCUCUAAUCCAGUGCUUGCAGUAGGCCUCUCCUGGGUCGUGUUAUACUGAGUGGAAGACAAACAUUGUGUCAGCAGAUGGAAUGCUGUGCUAAAGCGCCAUAGAGCAAAAUACAAUAACCUUCAGCCUUAUAUCUUAACAGUACCUGACACUCUCCAAAUAUGAGCAAACAAAAUCAUAACGGAAUGGAGAAGUACGUCACUUUUGUUAAGGCCACCUGUGUCUAAACUCUGGUCCCCAUCUGUUUAGAGUUGUAAAUGUCUGUCGCACCUUUCUAGAGACCAAAUCAUACAGUGUGUGAGAGGGGGAAUGUUAGUAUUAUAAAAUGUAUAAUAGUAUUAUAAAAAUGAACUGAUUCAAAGGAAGGAGUGGAGCUGAAGAUAUAGCAUCCAAUCCCUCAUCCCAGUAGGGGAGUAUAAAUCAGGUUGAAGUAGGAACGAGUGGCGCUGAAGAUAUAACUGCCAUAACCCUCUGUAGAAUGUCAACUCCCAGGCUGCCUCUGGGGACUUCCAAUUGAAUUAUUGUCCACAACAGCUCCAUCUGUGUGUUGCUGAUGGUGAACUGGGUUUGUGGCACAAUCACCCAUUCCGACCAAUAAAUAGCUGCGGCGCCAGUGGUUGGAGGAGGCGCUGAGGUGAUGGUUGUUGGAGGAGGAGCUGAGGUGGUGGUUGGAGGAGGCGCUGAGGUGAUGGUUGUUGGAGGAGGAGCUGAGGUGGUGGUUGGAGGAGGCGCUGAGGUGAUGGUUGUUGGAGGAGGAGCUGAGGUGGUGGCUUGAGAGCUGAUGGUGGUUGAAUUUGGGGCAAACAAAUCCCUUACAGCUGUCAGAUUGGCCCUCUGCAUUGCCAGGGAGCCCGAGACGAACAACUGCAGAGGUGACUGCCGUUGUUCAGUCCUCAGCCCAUGGUGGGUCCCCUGACUGGCAAACACAGCAAGAUCUCUGUUCAUCCGUGGCUGGAACACAAAGUGCAGUGCCCACAGGUCCACCCCAUUGUUGAUGUCGAUGAUCUGCUCCGUCUCCAAGAAGGUGAACAGGUCAUGGUAAACGUUGGAGACUCCAUGCCAGACGUCCCCCUACAGCCACUCUAUCCUCUGGUUGUGUGCUCCUUCCUCUGAGGGCACUUCCCCUCUCACCACCCCUGAAUUGCUCCAUGAAGGCACAGAUACGGUUGUUUUCACCACCCGGGUCACAUCUCACCCGGGAUGGUACUCCGUAGCUGGUGAUGGCUGCUUCGAAUGACAUCCAUGACUGUGGCACUCCUGUUGUUGUCAGAGGCCUUCAGAAACCCAACAAGUCUGCUGUAACCAUCCACAGCACCAUGGAUAACAAUCCUCCACCUAAAAAACAAGAUAUGUUUGUUUUACAAAAACUUUUUAGGGGUCUCUUAUAGGGACGCCAUUCUGUUUUUAUUGAUAUCAGCCCUUUGAUCCUCUCAUCCAGCUGAGUGUCUGACAACAGUGAGUAGGACCUGAAAAGCUGGAAAUGACUCAACACAAAAAAGAUACAUCAAUCAGGAAUGUGAUCAAAUCUAGAGAGGAUGUAGAGAUCUCCCUCUUGUGUUACAAUUGCUUUAUUCUUGACCACAGAGUGCGACACAUUGAGAGCAUCUGCCAUUUGUCUGACGGUCAUAUUGUCACGCCCUGGUCUUAGUAUUUUGUGUUUUCUUUAUUUAUUUGGUUAGGCCAGGAUGUGACAUGGGUUUAUUUUGUGGUGUGUUUGUGUAUUGGGGUUUUUCGUAGGCUUUGGGAUUGUGGCUUAGUGGGGUGUUCUAGCAAAGUCUAUGGUUGCCUGAGGCGGUUCUCAAUCAGAGGCAGGUGAUUCUCGUUGUCUCUGAUUGGGAACCAUAUUUAGGCAGCCAUAUUCUUUGAGUGUUUCGUGGGUGAUUGUUCCUGUCUCUGUGUUAGUUGUCACAAGAUAGGCUGUAUAGGUUUUCACAUUCCGUUUUUGUAUUGUUCGUGUUUUGUCUUCAUUAAACAUGUAUCGAAUUAACCACGCUGCAUUUUGGUCCGACUCUCUUUCGACGGAAGAAAACCGUAACACAUAUGACAAACUGAGCACCUCAAGCUGCUCCUUGGUGAUGUGAUACCACCUUCCCUCCAAAGACGCUUGAUAGGAUACUGAAAUAAAAAAAAUACAAUCGAUAAUUGACAAAAUACACUCCUAAAAACUUUUUGCAGCUUGUACACCACACACUCUCAACACCUACAUUAGAUAGAUAGCUAACAUUAAGUUAACGUUACCGGGCUAUUGAUGGUUGAAGUCCAUCUCUUCUGUCCGUGAGCAGCAGUCUGGUGCAAAUCAGAGAUGGUAGAUUUACGAUCUUCCAGAAAUUGGGCAGCCAUUGAUUUUUUUUUACCUCGGGAGAACAGAAGUUGAGUGAAUGUCUUUCAUCAGUACCUGAGACUUGGGCGGAGUCCAAAUGGCCUUUAUGCAAAUGUUAUCAUCGGUGACAAAAUCUAUGACUCAUAGCGACACGUAUCGGUGAAUCGUUGUGACGUAUGAAAUAGAGUGAGAGUGUAAUCAAUGUGUAAUAAACUACGUACAAAGUGUUAAAUUAUUAUGUGACGUGGGGUCAUAUGCAGGUGCAGAUUGGUAAAGAAGCUUACGUGACGUGUCAAAUAGUGUUAUUUGACGCCUCAAAUAGUGUUAUUUGACGUGUAUCUUUUUGACACUAAAGACCCAAACGGCGUUCCAUAUUAUACAGCCGAAAUUCGCGCGCAUCUGUGUUUAACGUCAGGCCAGUGUGUCGUGUACUGAAAAGCCUAUGUCAGCCCGGAAAAUUGAUCUCCCCUUGCCUUCUCAUCUGAAAGAACGGCCUCUUUACAAUAUCAUCAUGCCGUUCAUUGAUUUAGAAAGUAAUUUACCUGAGAGUACGUUUUCUGAGGAUAAAAAAAAAUAGCCGUGCUCCAAAGCAGCACGUUUGGGAAAUGCAUAAAUUAGUCCCACAUCUCGAAACGUUCACCAGACAGCCUUGAAAAUGAUAUUCCAAUCAAAUCCAGUCAAAGUAGACUCUUGUUCUGUAUUUAUUAUUGACAAUAGCAUAAUUACGGCUUGGCGGUCUUUAAAACUGAUAAAUACAAGAAACGGACCUUCUGAAUACAACGAAUUAGUGUAAAUACAAGAUCGCAAUUUAGGCGUCGUCUUCAAGGUGAAAAAAAAAAG